GGACAACAUAUACAAAACCAUUUGAUCAAUUGUCAAACAUGAGUUAUUUCAAAAAUCACCACCUUUUCUGCAUAAAUUCAGGACAACAUAUACAAAACCAUUUGAUCAAGUGUCAAACAUGAGUUAUUUAAAAAAUCACCACCUUUUCUUCUUAUUCAUUUUUGCACUUAACCUUGCUUUAGGGACAAGUUCUAAGUUGACCCCUAGACUUGCUUUAUUUAGUCCUGGUUAUCUAAUGCAUAUUAUCGACAACAUCCCAACUAAUUCUCCAGCUUUGACUCUUCGUUGUCAAUCUAAAAAUGACGAUCUAGG
This 312-nucleotide long non-coding RNA is filed under the name Nicotiana benthamiana. Its description in RNAcentral is "long non-coding RNA (NBEN_LNC020843)". The record is from RNAcentral. Lineage: Eukaryota; Viridiplantae; Streptophyta; Magnoliopsida; Solanales; Solanaceae.